This 429-nucleotide ribosomal RNA is filed under the name Actinomycetes bacterium. RNAcentral describes it as "Actinobacteria bacterium partial 16S ribosomal RNA". It matches the Rfam family "Bacterial small subunit ribosomal RNA", at positions 355 to 776 of the family's 1533-position model. The record is from RNAcentral. Lineage: Bacteria; Bacillati; Actinomycetota; Actinomycetes.
UAGGGAAUCUUCCGCAAUGGGCGAAAGCCUGACGGAGCAACGCCGCGUGAGUGAUGAAGGUCUUCGGAUCGUAAAACUCUGUUAUUAGGGAAGUACAAAUGUGUAAGUAACUAUGCACGUCUUGACGGUACCUAAUCAGAAAGCCACGGCUAACUACGUGCCAGCAGCCGCGGUAAUACGUAGGUGGCAAGCGUUAUCCGGAAUUAUUGGGCGUAAAGCGCGCGUAGGCGGUUUUUUAAGUCUGAUGUGAAAGCCCACGGCUCAACCGUGGAGGGUCAUUGGAAACUGGAAAACUUGAGUGCAGAAGAGGAAAGUGGAAUUCCAUGUGUAGCGGUGAAAUGCGCAGAGAUAUGGAGGAACACCAGUGGCGAAGGCGACUUUCUGGUCUGUAACUGACGCUGAUGUGCGAAAGCGUGGGGAUCAAACAGG